Molecule: non-coding RNA, 83 nt
Filed under: pig gut metagenome
Description: Glycine riboswitch
Rfam family: Glycine riboswitch aptamer
About the family: This family represents the bacterial glycine riboswitch. Glycine riboswitches usually consist of two metabolite-binding aptamers domains with similar structures in tandem.
Source: RNAcentral
UCUUGGAGAGAUUCAUGAAAAAAUGAACGCCGAAGGUGUAAGGCGGCAGAGCCGCCGAUCUCUCAGGCAAAAGGACAGGAGGA